AUUGAACGCUGGCGGCAUGCCUUACACAUGCAAGUCGAACGGUAACAGGUCUUCGGAUGCUGACGAGUGGCGAACGGGUGAGUAAUACAUCGGAACGUGCCUAGUAGUGGGGGAUAACUACUCGAAAGAGUGGCUAAUACCGCAGAGAUCUACGGAUGAAAGCAGGGGAUCGCAAGACCUUGUGCUACUAGAGCGGCCGAUGGCAGAUUAGGUAGUUGGUGGGAUAAAAGCUUACCAAGCCGACGAUCUGUAGCUGGUCUGAGAGGACGAUCAGCCACACUGGGACUGAGAGCCGGCCCAGACUCCUACGGGAGGCAGCAGUGGGGAAUUUUGGACAAUGGGCGAAAGCCUGAUCCAGCAAUGCCGCGUGCAGGAUGAAGGCCUUCGGGUUGUAAACUGCUUUUGUACGGAACGAAAAGCCCCGGGUUAAUACCCUGGGGUCAUGACGGUACCGUAAGAAUAAGCACCGGCUAACUACGUGCCAGCCGCCGCAGUAA
Molecule: ribosomal RNA, 497 nt
Filed under: uncultured bacterium
Lineage: Bacteria
Description: partial 16S ribosomal RNA
Rfam family: Bacterial small subunit ribosomal RNA
Source: RNAcentral